RNAcentral lists this long non-coding RNA (914 nucleotides) under Olea europaea subsp. europaea. Lineage: Eukaryota; Viridiplantae; Streptophyta; Magnoliopsida; Lamiales; Oleaceae. The record is from RNAcentral.
CCAUGGAGUAGUGUAUUUCUUAUUACUGAAGAUAUAAAUGAAAAUAAAAUAUAAAUUUAAGAGGGAUUGAAAGCAAAGGCAAAAGGAAAAACUCAAAUCACUCUCUCUUUUUAAUCAAUAAUAAUUAAUUAAAAUCACCAUUUUACAUGCAUAAUAAAUUCAAAAAUGAACAAUCAAACCAAGUUAUUAGUUACAUUAAAUCAAACCAGACAAAUCCCACAUCAAAUCAAUAAGUAAAAACAUGGGCAGAUCAAAAGAGGAGGGCGAAAACGAUGGCUGCUACGGAGGCAAAGAAGGUGGGAAUGAAGGUGGCGGCGGCGUCGGAGGUGGGGCCUGGAGCCGGAGGAUCGGCAGCGGAGACACCGUUCACGGAGGAGAGUGCUAUGAACAUGAGGACCGUCAAGGCAGUUGCCAGCAUCUUCAUCUUCAUGGCCUCCAUUGCUUCUUCAAAAGAAAGAUAAUUAAGAGAUAUAUAGUGGACGUAUGUAUGUAUGUACUUAUGUAUAUAGAGAAAGAGAGAGGCUCUGCAAUUUCUAUUUGAAGAAAAAUGUUAUGUUAAUUUGUAGAUAGAAGGUGGAGUUUAUAUACAAACGGAGGUGAAGAAGAGAGAGAAAUUCGGGGCAGUUUAACGUUAAAAAAAGCUUCAUUGUUGUUUUUCUUUUUCUUUUUUGUCUGCUUAAUUAUUUAGACACCUUCUUUUUACCCUUCUCUCCUUUUGUUUGAACAAAAGUUUCAACUUUAUUUGCUUUUUUUGAUAGAAAUUCAGGAACUUGGAGACAUCUCUUUAUACUUUCAUCAAUACAUAAGCAAAGUGUCGCAUGGUAACUUGAAGAGUCAAUUUCACAAUUAGCUACUAACUAAAUCAACAAAUUGCCAAACGUAAAAAAAGCGUAUAAGUUAUGAGUAUAAACUCA